Long non-coding RNA from Bacillus rossius redtenbacheri, 770 nucleotides. RefSeq lists it as uncharacterized. The transcript has 4 exons. The record is from RefSeq and is a predicted model, not a curated record. Lineage: Eukaryota; Metazoa; Arthropoda; Insecta; Phasmatodea; Bacillidae.
UCAACAUUUUGGAAUUUCACUUGGUUUUAUCGUCGGAUUUUCUUGAAAAUAUGGAGGUACAGUUUCUUGGUGGUAUUGGUGGACAGGGCAUUUUUUCAUGUGUCAACGCAGUGCUCAGGAGAUUGAUGACAAAUUCUGCCGCAUCCCAAUACAGCUGGAGUGGGUUCAAAGGAAAGAAAACAUUUAUAAAUUUAAGGCUGUCGCAAGUUGUGCUACAUGUUGUACGGUUACAUGUGCCAGGGGCUACUGAAACUGAAGUGUCAGAGCAGAUACAAGCUUGGUUGAAGCAUGCCAAAACAAGACUUGUCAGAACAUCACAGAAGUUGCCAGUUUCUGACCAGUGUUGAAAAAAGAAGCAUAAGAACUUAAGUGAACUACUUUGUAAUGAAUUUUACCAGGACAUGAAUUAUUGUGCCAAAUGAAUGUUUAAAAAUACCUUGCAUAUAAUAUUUUGAUACUCUACUUUGAAAACUAUAAAAUACUAUGUAGAAAUAUUGCAGAAUUAAACUUUUACUUACACUUAUUAAAAGGUUUUGUUUUUUAACUGCCUUCAUGCAACACUAAUGUCUUGAUUCAAAGCUACUAAGCCUAACCAAAAUACUUACCAGACCAGUCUCCAGCUGCGAACGAGUCUCCUCAAAACUCGGUCCAAUCUUCAGCGUGACCGACUCUGGCUUUUGUGAUCUCGACUUGAAGGUCCUCCGGAGUCAACACAGACACAUUGUUAACUUCGAGGAUAAUGUUGCGAACAUGGUGCAAACCUUGUCUGU